CCGGUAGUGGGGGAUAACCUGAGGAAACUCAGGCUAAUACCGCAUACGCCCUACGGGGGAAAGCAGGGGCUCUUCGGACCUUGCGCUAUCGGAUGAGCCUAUGUCGGAUUAGCUGGUUGGUGAGGUAAUGGCUCACCAAGGCGACGAUCCGUAGCUGGUCUGAGAGGAUGAUCAGCCACAUCGGGACUGAGACACGGCCCGAACUCCUACGGGAGGCAGCAGUGGGGAAUAUUGGACAAUGGGCGGAAGCCUGAUCCAGCCAUGCCGCGUGUGUGAAGAAGGCCCUCGGGUUGUAAAGCACUUUCAGUGAGGAAGAAGGCCUUCGGGUUAAUACCCCGGAGGAAGGACAUCACCCACAGCGGG
Molecule: ribosomal RNA, 363 nt
Filed under: uncultured Halomonas sp.
Lineage: Bacteria; Pseudomonadati; Pseudomonadota; Gammaproteobacteria; Oceanospirillales; Halomonadaceae
Description: bacterial SSU rRNA
Rfam family: Bacterial small subunit ribosomal RNA
Source: RNAcentral